Molecule: transfer RNA, 73 nt
Filed under: Chloroflexota bacterium
Lineage: Bacteria; Bacillati; Chloroflexota
Also listed under: 1 other name
Description: Chloroflexi bacterium tRNA-Arg
Rfam family: tRNA
About the family: Transfer RNA (tRNA) molecules are approximately 80 nucleotides in length. Their secondary structure includes four short double-helical elements and three loops (D, anti-codon, and T loops).
Source: RNAcentral
GCCCUCGUGGCUCAGUGGAUAGAGCGUCUGGUUGCGGACCAGAAAGUCGCAGGUUCGAAUCCUGCCGAGGGUA